This 206-nucleotide ribosomal RNA is filed under the name uncultured bacterium. RNAcentral's name for it is "partial 16S ribosomal RNA". It matches the Rfam family "Bacterial small subunit ribosomal RNA", at positions 524 to 729 of the family's 1533-position model. The record is from RNAcentral.
UACGGAGGGAGCUAGCGUUGUUCGGAAUACUGGGCGUAAAGCGCACGUAGGCGGCGAUUCAAGUCAGAGGUGAAAGCCCGGGGCUCAACCCCCGGAACUGCCUUUGAAACUAGAUUGCUAGAAUCCUGGAGAGGUGAGUGGAAUUCCGAGUGUAGAGGUGAAAUUCGUAGAUAUUCGGAAGAACACCAGUGGCGAAGGCGGCACUC